RNAcentral lists this ribosomal RNA (1314 nucleotides) under Triticum aestivum (bread wheat). Its description in RNAcentral is "partial small subunit ribosomal RNA". Lineage: Eukaryota; Viridiplantae; Streptophyta; Magnoliopsida; Poales; Poaceae. The record is from RNAcentral.
AUGGACAUCUUGGACGCUAACCCAAUCUCCUUCUCCGCCUUCCCCGACGACAAGGCGGUGUUCGAGCCGCUCAACCCCGAAGAUGUCCGUGCAUACCUCCACAAGGCCGUCGACUUCAUCUCUGACUACUACACCAACAUCGAGUCUAUGCCGGUUCUGCCCAACGUGAAGCCGGGAUACCUGCAAGACGAGCUGAGCGCGUCCCCGCCGACCCACUCCGCAUCAUUCGAUGUCACCAUGAAGGAGCUCAGGACCUCCGUUGUCCCCGGCAUGACACAAUGGGCUAGCCCCAAUUUCUUCGCCUUCUUUCCCUCCACCAACAGCGCCGCUGCCAUCGCCGGCGACCUCAUCGCCUCUGCCAUGAACACUGUUGGAUUCAUGUGGCAGGCCUCGCCCGCGGCAACCGAGAUGGAGCUUCUCGCUCUUGACUGGCUUGCGCAGCUUCUGCGCCUACCCACCACCUUCAUGAACCGCACCAGUACUGGACGUGGCACUGGCGGUGGUGUCAUCCUCGGCACAACCAGCGAGGCAAUGCUUGUCACGCUAGUGGCCGCUCGUGAUGCAGCGCUGCAUCGGAGCGGCUCAGUCGGCGUGUCCCACCUACCACGCUUGGCUGUCUAUGCUGCCGACCAGACCCACUCCACGUUCUUCAAGGCAUGCCGCCUCGCAGGUUUCGACCCCGCCAACAUCCGCUCAAUCCCUACUGGGCCGGAAACUAAUUACGGGCUCAACCCGUCCAAGAUUCUCGAGGUAAUGCAAGCUGAUGCCGAUGCCGGUCUCGUGCCCACAUAUGUCUGUGCCACGGUGGGCACCACAUCUUCCAAUGCCGUCGACCCAGUGGGCGCCAUCGCCGACGUUGCCGCCAUGUUCAAUGCAUGGGUCCAUGUCGAUGCUGCCUGCGCCGGCAGUGCGUGUAUCUGCCCAGAGUUUCGCCACCAUCUCGAUGGCGUCGAGCACGUGGACUCCAUUAGCAUGAGCCCACACAAAUGGCUUCUCACGUGCCUCGAUUGCACCUGUUUGUACGUCCGUGAUGCUCACCGACUUAGUGACUCAUUGGAGACCAACCCGGAGUACCUCAAGAAUGACGCUACCGAGUCCGGUGAGGUCACCGAUCUGAAAGACAUGCAGGUCGGCGUUGGUCGGCGCUUCCGCGGGCUCAAGCUUUGGAUGGUCAUGCGCACAUAUGGUACCGCAAAGCUCCAAGAGCACAUCCGUAGUGAUGUCGCCAUGGCCAAGAUGUUUGGAAGAUUUCGUCCGCGCCGACAACAGGUUCGAGGUGGUUGUACUCAGGAACUUUGCUCUUGUGUGCUUUAG